CUACGGGGGGCUGCAGUGGGGAAUAUUGCACAAUGGGCGAAAGCCUGAUGCAGCGACGCCGCGUGAGCGAAGAAGUAUUUCGGUAUGUAAAGCUCUAUCAGCAGGGAAGAAGAAUGACGGUACCUGACUAAGAAGCACCGGCUAAAUACGUGCCAGCAGCCGCGGUAAUACGUAUGGUGCAAGCGUUAUCCGGAUUUACUGGGUGUAAAGGGAGCGCAGGCGGUACGGUAAGUCUGAUGUGAAAGCCCGGGGCUCAACCCCGGUACUGCAUUGGAAACUGUCGGACUAGAGUGUCGGAGGGGUAAGUGGAAUUCCUAGUGUAGCGGUGACAUGCGUAGAUAUUAGGAGGAACACCAGUGGCGAAGGCGGCUUACUGGACGAUAACUGACGCUGAGGCUCGAAAGCGUGGGGAGCAAACAGGAUUAGAUACCCCCGUAGUC
This 440-nucleotide ribosomal RNA is filed under the name uncultured bacterium. Its description in RNAcentral is "partial 16S ribosomal RNA". It matches the Rfam family "Bacterial small subunit ribosomal RNA", at positions 339 to 795 of the family's 1533-position model. The record is from RNAcentral.